CCCACUAACUUCACAGCCCAUUUGAAUUGUUCAUCAGAAAAUAACCUUUGUUCUGUUAAAAACUUCAAACUUUUCUGAUCUGUUUUGAUAAUAAAAUGCCUCCGCAUCAAAUAAUGUCUCCAUUUUUUAAUGGCUUGGACCAAAGCCAUUAAUUCUCUCUCAUAAACAGAUUUUUGUUGAGCCCUUAAGGAAAGCCCUUUACUCCAAAAUGCUAAAGGCCUUCCCUCUUGCAUCAAAACUGCCCCUAGACCUUUGUUGGAAGCAUCAGUUUCCACUAUAAAUUCCUUAUUAAAAUCGGGUAUUGCCAACAUUGGUAGAGAUACCAUAGCAGCCUUCAACUUUUCAAAAGCAGAUGUAGCCUCUGCAGUCCAACUGAAAGAAUCUUUCUUGAGUAAAUCUGUCAGAGGUUUUGCUAUCUUGCCAUAAUUCUGAAUAAACCUUCAAUAAUAACCUGAGAACCCUAAGAACCCUCUCAACCCUGUUAUAUUCCUUGGUUGCGGCCAAGACUUCAUAGCUUCCACUUUGGAACAGUCAGCAGAAACACCAUCUCCUGAAAUGAUGUGGCCCAAAUACUUAAUACUUGUUUGACCAAAACUGCAUUUCUUGAGGUUUGCCUUCAACUUAUUCUCAGUUAACACUGUUAAGAUGACUUGUAAAUGGUCGUUAUGGGAUUCCAAAUCAGGGUUGUAUAUUAAAAUGUCAUCAAAAAACACUAGUGUGAAUUUCCUCAAAUAUGGUUUCAAGAUCUCAUUCAUCAAAGCUUGAAACGUGGAUGGGGCAUUAGUGAGUCCAAAAGGCAUAACUAAGAAUUCAUAAUGCCCCUCAUGAGUCCUAAAUGCUGUCUUCUCGACAUCUUCCAAUCUCAUCCAUAUCUGAUGAUAACCUGACUUCAAGUCAAGUUUAGAAAAAACCUUUGCUCCUCCCAAUUCAUCUAACAACUCUUCAAUUAUAGGAAUUGGAAAUUAGUUUGGAAUGGUGACCUUGUUGAGUGCCCUAUAAUCCAUACAAAAUCUCCAACCUCCAUCUUUUUUCUUCACUAGAAUGAUAGGGCUAGAAUAAGGGCUAAUAUUGUUUCUGAUCACCCCAGCAUCUAACAUUUCAGCUACAAAUUUCUCAAUUUCUGUUUUCUGAAAAUGAGAACAUUUGUAAGGCCGAAUGUUGGGUAUUUCAGCUCCCUCCUUCAGUUUGAUAGCAUGAUCAUGCUUUCUAAAAGGGGGUAACCCCUCGAUAUCUUCGAACACUUCUUGGUGUUGCUCUAGGAUCCUCUUCAAUGCUUCUGGAACCCUUUCUUCUUUCUGUUUACUUCCCUCUUCUGUCACACAGUGUAACAAUAGCCCUUCCCCCUCUUGUAACAGAAUUUGCCUGAAAGCUCCAUAGGACAGCUCUGUCUUUGUUAAUGCAGGAUCUCCUGCUAUUGUGAUUCUAGAACCUCCUCUCAUAAGGGUUAGCUCCAUUCUGCCAAAGUCAACCUUUACUUCUCCCAAACUAGCUAACCAGUCUAAACCCAACACUAGGUCCACUCCUUUUAAUCCAAACAAAUAGAAGUCUUGAAUAACUUCUAAUUGUUGUAAAUAUAGUUUGAGCUGAGUACAUUUUCCUCUAUUUUGAACUUUAUGGCCAUCUCCCACUUCUACUACAUAGGCUGGAGUGUCGUCUACUUUCAGUUUCAACCUGUCCACUGAAUCCUUUGCAAUGAAAUUGUGUGAUGCACCACAAUCUAUCAAUAUCACAACAGGUUGAUCUUUUAUUAUUCCUCAUACCUUCCAUGAUUUACUAGUUGUGAGUCCUGUCAUUGAGUACAUUGAUAAUUGCAAGGAAUUUAGUGUCUCUAUCUCAUCUAUAUUAAAGGGUUCAUCACACCUAAAACAUAACCCUUUUUCUCUCUUUUCCCUCAUUUCAUCACUAGUCAACUUCUUAUACUCCCC
Molecule: long non-coding RNA, 1925 nt
Filed under: Cicer arietinum (chickpea)
Lineage: Eukaryota; Viridiplantae; Streptophyta; Magnoliopsida; Fabales; Fabaceae
Description: long non-coding RNA (CARI_LNC003459)
Source: RNAcentral